Otolemur garnettii (small-eared galago) is the source of this 544-nucleotide RNA transcript. It is a transcript of the gene named kxDL motif-containing protein 1 pseudogene, with no coding region annotated. NCBI's taxonomy places the organism in Eukaryota, Metazoa, Chordata, Mammalia, Primates, Galagidae. The transcript is spliced from 3 exons. The record is from RefSeq and is a predicted model, not a curated record.
GAACCAUGCCUGACAUCCUUAGGAGCUCAAGAAAUGAAUAGAUGAACAAAUCAUACACUGGCUUUUGCAGGCAGUGGAGGAGGAAGAAGAGAUGGACCCCCCAGACUCGGCCUCGAGGGUCUUCUGUAGCCGCAUCCUGAGCAUGGUGAAUGCAGAUGACGUCAAUGCCAUCAUCCUGGCCCAGAAGAAUAUGCUGGACCGCUUUGAGAAGACCAAUGAAAUGCUGCUGAAUUUCAACAACCUGUCCAGUGCCCGCCUUCAGCAGAUGAGUGAGCGCUUCCUACACCACACGAGAACUCUGGUAGAGAUGAAACGGGAUUUGGACAGCAUCUUCCGCCGAAUGAACUGCUACGGGCCUGAGGACGCUUCGGGCAAGGGCCGCGCCGUGGGACCUGAGAGUGCGCGCAUCCGACUCUCUGCAGAGCCGGUGGACGCGCCUCGAACCCCGCCGGCUCCCACCCGGGAGUCCCAGCGCAAGGACGUCGUUUGGAAUUCGGCAGAGGCCGGGGCGCCUCCUCAGUGUGGCGGUAGCUGUAACCUCUGA